This 253-nucleotide ribosomal RNA is filed under the name uncultured bacterium. RNAcentral describes it as "partial 16S ribosomal RNA". It matches the Rfam family "Bacterial small subunit ribosomal RNA", at positions 524 to 776 of the family's 1533-position model. The record is from RNAcentral.
UACGGGGGGGGCAAGCGUUGUUCGGAGUUACUGGGCGUAAAGGGCUCGUAGGCGGCCAACUAAGUCGGACGUGAAAUCCCUCGGCUCAACCGGGGAACUGCGUCCGAUACUGGAUGGCUUGAGUUCGGGAGAGGGAUGCGGAAUUCCAGGUGUAGCGGUGAAAUGCGUAGAUAUCUGGAGGAACACCGGUGGCGAAGGCGGCAUCCUGGACCGAUACUGACGCUGAGGAGCGAAAGCCAGGGGAGCAAACGGG